AUCCAGUGACUGAUGAGUCCCAAAUAGGACGAAAUGCGCUCUAUCCUGGAU
This 51-nucleotide non-coding RNA is filed under the name Trichobilharzia regenti. Lineage: Eukaryota; Metazoa; Platyhelminthes; Trematoda; Strigeidida; Schistosomatidae. The record is from RNAcentral.